AGCACCAGAGGCUCGUGAGGGGUUGUGUGUUGGUGGAGGAUUUGUCCCAGGGACAACCCUACGAGUUUUGGGUGGAGGGUUUCGCGAUGAAGAAGGAGGAUUAGCGGUGGACUUCGUGUGAGCCAUCGCAGGAACUGCAAAGGAGAGAAAAGGGAUGAAAUGAGGACAACAGAGAAUGACUCGAUUGAGGACGAAGAGGAUAGAACGAACGAAUAAGGGUUCGCUGGGAUAGACGUUAUCAAGGACGAAACCUUAGGUUACUAGAAAAAAGAGAAACAACCCACAACGUAUGCUUCAGACAGUUAAUGGAUGAUGCAAACUGAUUAAAAUGCAGUAAAUGUCAAUAGGAGGAAUAAAAGGGUUACCUUUUUAUGAUCGGAUGAACGCUGAAGAAAGUUGAAGAUUGAGAGAGACGAGAAGUUUCGUGGUUCGCAGAGAAAGUGUUUGGAAUGCUUGAGGACGAAGAAAGAUGAUGAAACAGUGAAUAGCGCGAAGGGUUUAAGGGUUUCGAACGUUGUAGGAAGCGCAAACGACGAUUAAAAAUGACCGUUGAUGAAGCCACGUGUCGUUUGAUUAAAGAGGGGGUUGGUGGAGUGUCAGAGAAGCAAAGGGUACGAACGUACGGAAAUCUGUACAAGCGCCACGUAGAUCGACGAUGAUUUGACUUCUUAGUCUUUUCACUGGUCAAGUAUCAGCUUAAGACUAGGGAGCUUGUGUACCGAUCAGGUAAUCGGGAGUGAUGACGUGGCAGCAAGCGAUAAUAUAGGCGUGUUGAACGGGACACCUGGCUGCCAGAAGGGAACUACAUCGGGAAGUCUGUGUAGUCGCCGAUCGUUGACUUGGCGUUCUCCGAUAUCUAGUGUGUGUAACCGGCGGUCACCAGAGUUGCGUCAUAGUCGCCAUAUGUGAGUACUAGGAGAUCAGGUGGUUAGAGAUCGCCGAAAGGGGCACAUCGCCAAAAGAUCAGGAAAGCUUGCUUAAGGUUUCCAAGAGGUACAAGUACGGGGGACUAGUGAUAUGCUUGUCACGCAGCAGUGGAGGAUGAGGUUAUCAGACGAUCAUUCCCUAGCCAGAGGUCGGGGCAAGGGAACAGUUUCCCAGAACAUGCAUGGUGUGCAAGUGAAGCAGAUCGUGAUAGUGGCAGGCGA
This 1148-nucleotide long non-coding RNA is filed under the name Phaseolus vulgaris (common bean). RNAcentral's name for it is "long non-coding RNA (PVUL_LNC002134)". The record is from RNAcentral. Lineage: Eukaryota; Viridiplantae; Streptophyta; Magnoliopsida; Fabales; Fabaceae.